GAUGAACGCGGGCGGCGUGCCUAAUACAUGCAAGUAGAACGCUGAAGCUUGGUGCUUGCACCGAGCGGAUGAGUUGCGAACGGGUGAGUAACGCGUAGGUAACCUGCCUCUUAGCGGGGGAUAACUAUUGGAAACGAUAGCUAAUACCGCAUAAAAGUCGACAUCGCAUGAUGUUGACUUGAAAGGUGCAAUUGCAUCACUAAGAGAUGGACCUGCGUUGUAUUAGCUAGUUGGUGAGGUAACGGCUCACCAAGGCGACGAUACAUAGCCGACCUGAGAGGGUGAUCGGCCACACUGGGACUGAGACACGGCCCAGACUCCUACGGGAGGCAGCAGUAGGGAAUCUUCGGCAAUGGGGGCAACCCUGACCGAGCAACGCCGCGUGAGUGAAGAAGGUUUUCGGAUCGUAAAGCUCUGUUGUAAGAGAAGAACGAGUGUGAGAGUGGAAAGUUCACACUGUGACGGUAACUUACCAGAAAGGGACGGCUAACUACGUGCCAGCAGCCGCGGUAAUACGUAGGUCCCGAGCGUUAUCCGGAUUUAUUGGGCGUAAAGCGAGCGCAGGCGGUUAGAUAAGUCUGAAGUUAAAGGCUGUGGCUUAACCAUAGUACGCUUUGGAAACUGUUUAACUUGAGUGCAGAAGGGGAGAGUGGAAUUCCAUGUGUAGCGGUGAAAUGCGUAGAUAUAUGGAGGAACACCGGUGGCGAAAGCGGCUCUCUGGUCUGUAACUGACGCUGAGGCUCGAAAGCGUGGGGAGCAAACAGG
Molecule: ribosomal RNA, 765 nt
Filed under: uncultured Streptococcus sp.
Lineage: Bacteria; Bacillati; Bacillota; Bacilli; Lactobacillales; Streptococcaceae
Description: bacterial SSU rRNA
Rfam family: Bacterial small subunit ribosomal RNA
Source: RNAcentral